UACGUAGGGUGCAAGCGUUAAUCGGAAUUACUGGGCGUAAAGCGUGCGCAGGCGGUUUUGUAAGACUGUCGUGAAAUCCCCGGGCUUAACCUGGGAAUGGCGAUGGUGACUGCAAGGCUAGAGUUUGGCAGAGGGGGGUAGAAUUCCACGUGUAGCAGUGAAAUGCGUAGAUAUGUGCAGGAACACCGAUGGCGAAGGCAGCCCCCUGGGUCAAAACUGACGCUCAUGCACGAAAGCGUGGGGAGCAAACAGG
RNAcentral lists this ribosomal RNA (253 nucleotides) under uncultured bacterium. RNAcentral's name for it is "partial 16S ribosomal RNA". It matches the Rfam family "Bacterial small subunit ribosomal RNA", at positions 524 to 776 of the family's 1533-position model. The record is from RNAcentral.